This 454-nucleotide ribosomal RNA is filed under the name uncultured bacterium. Its description in RNAcentral is "bacterial SSU rRNA". It matches the Rfam family "Bacterial small subunit ribosomal RNA", at positions 340 to 787 of the family's 1533-position model. The record is from RNAcentral.
UACGGAAGGCAGCAGGGGGAAUAUUGCACAAUGGGCGCAAGCCUGAUGCAGCCAUGCCGCGUGUAUGAAGAAGGCCUUCGGGUUGUAAAGUACUUUCAGCGAGGAGGAAGGUGUUGAGGUUAAUAACCUCAGCAAUUGACGUUACUCGCAGAAGAAGCACCGGCUAACUCCGUGCCAGCAGCCGCGGUAAUACGGAGGGUGCAAGCGUUAAUCGGAAUUACUGGGCGUAAAGCGCACGCAGGCGGUCUGUCAAGUCGGAUGUGAAAUCCCCGGGCUCAACCUGGGAACUGCAUUCGAAACUGGCAGGCUAGAGUCUUGUAGAGGGGGUAGAAUUCCAGGUGUAGCGGUGAAAUGCGUAGAGAUCUGGAGGAAUACCGGUGGCGAAGGCGGGCCCCUGGACAAAGCUGACGCUCAGGUGCGAAAGCGUGGGGAGCAAACGAGGAUUAGGAUAACC